GCUGCGCCUGUGCUUCUCCUCUCCUCUCCUAAAUGUCUAUACUCUGUUUGCGCGAUUUAACAAGUUCUUGUUAGUGAUUUAUAAAGCCAGCCGAGGUAUAACUCAUGUUAAAGUAACACAAUGGUUGCUUUUUAGUGAAAAAUUGUCAUUUUUGUAUGUAAAAGCAGUGUUUGAUGAGCUAACGCUAACAACCCAAUGCUAACGACUAGCGUUCUUAUGAGCCCAGUGUGAAAUGAAGAUAAUUCAUUUGACUGUAAACCACGGUUAUUGUGUUGUUUUAUUAAUUACAUUCGGUGUGUUCGUGUUUUUCAGUCUGUUAAAUAAGGUGCAGUUAGUUCUCUUCACAAAUCAGUUGGUUAAAACAGCCUCAUUCUUUAUGCUGUAAAGUUUUUAACGAACCGCCAUCUUAGAUUCAGUUUCAGCUGUCGGCAAGAUCAAAGGAGCCAUUUUACCGCCUCUGACCGAACACGGGAGAAAAAGAGUCACGUUUGUCCAGAGUGAAAUAAAGCUUGGUUUUGCCUUUGCUGAGUGAAACAGAACUUCGGUUUUGCCUUUGCUGGAUACUGAUCUGGUCGUCGCAAGUCUGAGUGAACAGAUCUUUGGCUUUGCCUUUGCUGGUGACCUGCUGCAGAAGAUCCUCUCUCUCUAUCAUUAUAAGCAAUUCUGUCUAUCCUAUCUCUCUCCCAACUCUAUCUAAUUUGACAGCCAUUCUAUCUUGUAUCCCUCUAUCUCUACUGCUCUAUCUAAUUUGACACCAUUCCAUCUUGUAUCCCUCUUCUCUACUGCUCUAUCUAUUUGACAGCCAUUCCAUCUUGUAUCCCUCUAUCUCUAUGCUCUAUCUAAUGAGAAUCCAAGUUUUCAGAAAUCCAAGUUUUCAGAAUCCAAGUUUUCAGAAUCCAAGUUUUCAGAAUCCAAGUUUUCAGAAUCCAAGUUUUCAGAAAUCCAAGUUACCAGUACUUGAUCUAUCUGUUACAGAAUUCUGAGAGAUCUCUGCUCUCACUGCUCCUUCUUUCCUGUCAUUAAGCUCUCUCACAUUCAGUCAUUUGCUGGAAAUUACA
Oreochromis niloticus (Nile tilapia) is the source of this 1058-nucleotide long non-coding RNA. RefSeq lists it as uncharacterized. Lineage: Eukaryota; Metazoa; Chordata; Actinopteri; Cichliformes; Cichlidae. The transcript is spliced from 6 exons. The record is from RefSeq and is a predicted model, not a curated record.